UCGGAGUGCUUGCACUCUGUGAAACAAGAUACAGGCUAGCGGCGGACGGGUGAGUAACACGUGGGUAACCUGCCUAAGAGAUCGGGAUAACACCUGGAAACAGAUGCUAAUACCGGAUAACAACAGAUGAUGCCUAUCAACUGUUUAAAAGAUGGUUCUGCUAUCACUCUUGGAUGGACCUGCGGUGCAUUAGCUAGUUGGUAGGGUAACGGCCUACCAAGGCGAUGAUGCAUAGCCGAGUUGAGAGACUGAUCGGCCACAUUGGGACUGAGACACGGCCCAAACUCCUACGGGAGGCAGCAGUAGGGAAUCUUCCACAAUGGACGCAAGUCUGAUGGAGCAACGCCGCGUGAGUGAAGAAGGGUUUCGGCUCGUAAAGCUCUGUUGUUGGUGAAGAAGGACAGGGGUAGUAACUGACCUUUGUUUGACGGUAAUCAAUUAGAAAGUCACGGCUAACUACGUGCCAGCAGCCGCGGUAAUACGUAGGUGGCAAGCGUUGUCCGGAUUUAUUGGGCGUAAAGCGAGUGCAGGCGGCUCGAUAAGUCUGAUGUGAAAGCCUUCGGCUCAACCGGAGAAUUGCAUCAGAAACUGUCGAGCUUGAGUACAGAAGAGGAGAGUGGAACUCCAUGUGUAGCGGUGAAAUGCGUAGAUAUAUGGAAGAACACCGGUGGCGAAGGCGGCUCUCUGGUCUGUUACUGACGCUGAGGCUCGAAAGCAUGGGUAGCGAACAGGAUUAGAUACCCUGGUAGUCCAUGCCGUANACGAUGAGUGCUAAGUGUUGGGAGGUUUCCGCCUCUCAGUGCUGCAGCUAACGCAUUAAGCACUCCG
Molecule: ribosomal RNA, 828 nt
Filed under: uncultured bacterium
Lineage: Bacteria
Description: bacterial SSU rRNA
Rfam family: Bacterial small subunit ribosomal RNA
Source: RNAcentral